Molecule: ribosomal RNA, 494 nt
Filed under: uncultured bacterium
Lineage: Bacteria
Description: partial 16S ribosomal RNA
Rfam family: Bacterial small subunit ribosomal RNA
Source: RNAcentral
GACGAACGCUGGCGGCGUGCUUAAACACAUGCAAGUCGAACGGAAAGGCCUGCUUUCCCUUGUGGAUUGCGGGUACUCGAGUGGCGAACGGGUGAGUAACACGUGAGUGAUCUGCCCCCAACUUGGGUAUAAGCCUGGGAAACUGGGUCUAAUUCCCGAUAGGACUGCAGGGUGGUGCCUGUGGUGGAAAACGAUUUUCUAGUGGUUGGGGAUGAGCUCGCGGCCUAUCAGCUUGUUGGUGGGGUAAUGGCCUACCAAGGCGGCGACGGGUAGCCGGCCUGAGAGGGUGGACGGCCACAUUGGGACUGAGAUACGGCCCAGACUCCUACGGGAGGCAGCAGUGGGGAAGAUUGCACAAUGGGCGGAAGCCUGAUGCAGCGACGCCGCGUGGGGGAUGACGGCCUUCGGGUUGUAAACUCCUUUCGACCGCGAGGAAGCCACCUGGUUGGAAGGGUGGUGACGGUAGUGGUAGAAGAAGCACCGGCUAACUACGU